UCCUUUCCGCUGCUCCCUGACCUGCUCUUUGGGGCUGGUGGUGGGCUUCCCCCCGCCAGCCCCAAAGAGCAGGUCAGGGAGCAGCGGAAAGGC
Non-coding RNA from Podarcis lilfordi (Lilford's wall lizard), 93 nucleotides. The record is from the annotation of a GenBank genome assembly. Lineage: Eukaryota; Metazoa; Chordata; Lepidosauria; Squamata; Lacertidae.